RNAcentral lists this ribosomal RNA (449 nucleotides) under uncultured bacterium. Its description in RNAcentral is "partial 16S ribosomal RNA". It matches the Rfam family "Bacterial small subunit ribosomal RNA", at positions 29 to 523 of the family's 1533-position model. The record is from RNAcentral.
AGCGAACGCUGGCGGCAGGCCUAACACAUGCAAGUCGAACGAACUCUUCGGAGUUAGUAGCGGACGGGUGAGUAACACGUGGGAACGUGCCUUUAGGUUCGGAAUAACUCAGGGAAACUUGUGCUAAUACCGAAUGUGCCCUUCGGGGGAAAGAUUUAUCGCCUUUAGAGCGGCCCGCGUCUGAUUAGCUAGUUGGUGAGGUAACGGCUCACCAAGGCGACGAUCAGUAGCUGGGCUGAGAGGAUGGCCAGACACACUGGGACUGAGACACGGCCCAGACUCCUACGGGAGGCAGCAGUGGGGAAUCUUGCGCAAUGGGCGAAAGCCUGACGCAGCCAUGCCGCGUGAAUGAUGAAGGUCUUAGGAUUGUAAAAUUCUUUCACCGGGGACGAUAAUGACGGUACCCGGAGAAGAAGCCCCGGCUAACUUCGUGCCAGCAGCCGCCGUAA